This 206-nucleotide ribosomal RNA is filed under the name uncultured bacterium. Its description in RNAcentral is "partial 16S ribosomal RNA". It matches the Rfam family "Bacterial small subunit ribosomal RNA", at positions 568 to 774 of the family's 1533-position model. The record is from RNAcentral.
UCCGUAGGUGGAUAAUUAAGUCAGAGGUGAAAUCCUGCAGCUCAACUGUAGAAUUGCCUUUGAUACUGGUUAUCUUGAGUCAUUAUGAAGUGGUUAGAAUGUGUAGUGUAGCGGUGAAAUGCAUAGAUAUUACACAGAAUACCGAUUGCGAAGGCAGAUCACUAAUAAUGUACUGACACUGAUGGACGAAAGCGUGGGAGCGAACA